RNAcentral lists this non-coding RNA (188 nucleotides) under Chiayiivirga flava. Its description in RNAcentral is "Dokdonella sp. CC-YHH031 6S / SsrS RNA". It matches the Rfam family "6S / SsrS RNA". Rfam says of the family: E. coli 6S RNA was the first non coding RNA to be sequenced, but its function was unknown until recently. Lineage: Bacteria; Pseudomonadati; Pseudomonadota; Gammaproteobacteria; Lysobacterales; Lysobacteraceae. The record is from Rfam by way of RNAcentral.
CAUCCUCUGCCGUGUCCGACAGCGUACGCUUACAUAUUGCCUUGACCCUAAUGAAUGACCCCGGGAAUGCGACAUUGUGCCGGCGUGCAUGUCCGCCAACGUGCGGGAAGCCCGAAGCGCAACGAGCCUUCCCACCUGAUCCUCUGGGAUCAAGGUCGUUUGGUACGCAUCGCCACGGCGGAGGUUGC